GGGAGCUGCCGAAGGUGGGGCCGAUAACUGGGGUGAAGUCGUAACAAGGUAGCCGUAUCGGAAGGUGCGGCUGGAUCACCUCCUUUCUAAGGAA
This 94-nucleotide ribosomal RNA is filed under the name Mediterraneibacter glycyrrhizinilyticus. Its description in RNAcentral is "partial 16S ribosomal RNA". It matches the Rfam family "Bacterial small subunit ribosomal RNA", at positions 1448 to 1533 of the family's 1533-position model. The record is from RNAcentral. Lineage: Bacteria; Bacillati; Bacillota; Clostridia; Lachnospirales; Lachnospiraceae.